This 792-nucleotide ribosomal RNA is filed under the name Providencia rettgeri. Its description in RNAcentral is "bacterial SSU rRNA". It matches the Rfam family "Bacterial small subunit ribosomal RNA", at positions 76 to 853 of the family's 1533-position model. Lineage: Bacteria; Pseudomonadati; Pseudomonadota; Gammaproteobacteria; Enterobacterales; Morganellaceae. The record is from RNAcentral.
AAGCUUGCUUCUCGCUGACGAGCGGCGGACGGGUGAGUAAUUGUAUGGGGAUCUGCCCGAUAGAGGGGGAUACUACUGGAAACGGUAUCUAUUACCGCAUAAUCUCUUAAGAGCGAAGCAGGGGAACUUCGGUCCUUGCUCUAUCGUAUGAACCCCUAUGGGAUUUUCUAUUUUGUGAAGGAAUGGGCCCCCAAGGGAACAAUCUCUAGCUGGUCUGAGAGGAUGAUCAGCCACACUGGGACUGAGACACGGCCCAGAACUCCUUACGGGAGGCAGCAGUGGGGAAUAUUGCGCCAAUGGGCGCAAGCCUGAUGCAGCCCAUGCCGCGUGUAUUAAGAAGGCCCUAGGGUUGUAAAGUACUUUCAGUCGGGAGGAAGGCGUUGAUGCUUAUAUCAUCGGUCGAUUGACGUUUACCGACAGAAGAAAGCACCGGGCUAACUCCGUGCCAGCAGCCGCGGUAAUACGGAGGGUGCAAGCGUUAAUCGGAAUUACUGGGCGUUAAGCGCACGCAGGCGGUUGAUUAAGUUAGAUGUGAAAUCCCCCGGGCUUAACCUGGGAAUGGCAUCUAAGACUGGUCAGCUAGAGUCUUGUAGAGGGGGGUAGAAUUCCAUGUGUAGCGGUGAAAUGCGUAGAGAUGUGGAGGAAUACCGGUGGCGAAGGCGGCCCCCUGGACAAAGACUGACGCUCAGGUGCGAAAGCGUGGGGAGCAAACCGGAUUAGAUACCCUGGUAGUCCACGCUGUAAACGAUGUCGAUUUGAAGGUUGUUCCCUUGAGGAGUGGCUUUCGGAGCU